GGAUCACCAGAGAGACCCUCCUUCCCUUCCUUACCCAGUGUUCACCCCACCACCCUGCUGGCACUGGCCCCGGGCACCACACUACCAGCUAGCACCCAAAGAGCCAGUGGGCUGCUCCUCAUCCACCCCUGGAAAGCCAACCUGAAAAACCCCCGUUUCUUUCUCCGUGGAAAUUCCUCUGCCUUUGGACUGCUAGCAGGUGGGGUCAGACAUUGCCAUGUACGUUCAGAAGAGUGGAGCUGUCAUGUCCCCCUUCUGAAUGUCCACUGCAGGGCUGACGGCGAGGGCCUCGUGCUUCGACACAGGCAGAGGGGCACGUCUGCAGUGUCUGUGCACUGGGAGAACGUGUUUCAAACUGCCACGAGACACGAGUCUUUUCUCAAAUUUAGGAAAAUACGAGAGGCAGACGGCUCACUCGGAGCAUUAAGAUACACCUUCGUCUUACGGCAAGCCUGUACAACAGACCUAUGGCUCGGGAGACUGAUGAGACUGGUGGCAAUGAAGCUGAAGAUGGACAGAACAUGUUCCGUCAAGACGAACCACCCCUCUGAGGGAACAGCCUUUAGCUCAGCACCAACAUACCUCCCGAACAACAGUUCAGGUUGCCCAUCGUCAACGACUCGAGCAGCGAAGGGGAGAGCCUCCCAGCUGUGGCCCAACGCUCUCCUCUCUACGCUCACACUGGCAGUUGGGUCACAAGGCUCUCUGGGCAUCAUUCCAUUGCCGUGGCAACUGGUCGAGGCCUGGAACUUUCAGACAGGGGAGGCAACUCUGCCCCCUCUGGGCCCACCUGCUCUACAUAGCCCACUGGCCGUUUCCCUGGACAGGGUCCAUGUUUUCUUUCAAACACUGCAUCCUAAAGUCAAACAGUGGAGUUCCCGUCGUGGCGCAGUGGUUAACGAAUCCGACUAGGAACCAUGAAGUUGCGGGUUCGAUCCCUGGCCUCGCUCAGUGGGUUAAGGGUCCGGCGUUGCCGUGAGCUGUGGUGUAGGCUGCAGACGCGGCUCGGAUCCCGUGUGCUGUGGCUCUGGCGUAGGCCAGAGGCUACAGCUCCGAUUCAACCCCUGGCCUGGGAACCUCCACAUGCCGCGGGAACAGCCCAAGAAUUACCAAAAAAGACAAAAAAUAAAAAAAUAAAAAUCAAACUUCA
This 1150-nucleotide long non-coding RNA is filed under the name Sus scrofa (pig). RNAcentral describes it as "lncRNA (ENSSSCG00015040982.1)". Lineage: Eukaryota; Metazoa; Chordata; Mammalia; Artiodactyla; Suidae. The record is from RNAcentral.